This 282-nucleotide ribosomal RNA is filed under the name Triticum aestivum (bread wheat). RNAcentral describes it as "partial small subunit ribosomal RNA". Lineage: Eukaryota; Viridiplantae; Streptophyta; Magnoliopsida; Poales; Poaceae. The record is from RNAcentral.
AUGGAGUAUCAAAUCUUUCUCAAAGGGCUUGUAGACAAAACCACCGCCCUUGAGGUUGCCUGCUCGGAUACCGUCAGAAGUGUCAAGGAGAUGAUCCGGGACCGGCAGGACAUUCCCGUGGAUGAGCAGAGGCUGAUCUAUGCAGGGCAACAGCUUGAAGAUGGUCGCACCAUGGAUGACUAUGGCAUCAAGAAGGAAUCUACACUUCACCUCUUGCUCCGCCUCCGAUCAUGCGGUCCUAAUAAUUGCCCAAGAGUACCUAUCCCAACAGUGGUAACCUAG